Molecule: long non-coding RNA, 250 nt
Filed under: Elaeis guineensis (African oil palm)
Lineage: Eukaryota; Viridiplantae; Streptophyta; Magnoliopsida; Arecales; Arecaceae
Description: long non-coding RNA (EGUI_LNC042298)
Source: RNAcentral
AAUUUCAGUCCUAAUAAGUUCAUUCCUUAUAUAGUUUUAUUUUUGCUUUGAUAUUUUAAAUUGAAUAUAAAAGAAAAAAAUAUUAUAUAUUAAGUCAGGAGCUCAUUAAUUUUAUGAAAAGCAACUAAACAGAUGUAGAGAUAAGUGAAAUAAAAUAGUGGAGAUGCUGGAUCCCAUACUCAAAAACUUGUUAAAGUAGCCAAGUAACAACAAGAACAUACUAGGUUAGUGAUUUGCUAUACCGGACAAG